Molecule: ribosomal RNA, 296 nt
Filed under: Sisyphus oralensis
Lineage: Eukaryota; Metazoa; Arthropoda; Insecta; Coleoptera; Scarabaeidae
Description: partial 16S ribosomal RNA
Source: RNAcentral
UAUUUUGAUUGUGCAAAGGUAGCAUAAUAAUUAGUUUUUUAAUUGAGAACUGGUAUGAAUGGUUGGACGAGAAAAAAACUGUCUCAAUUUAAAUUUUAUUAGAAUUUUAUUUUUAAGUUAAAAAGCUUAAAUAAUUUUAAUAGACGAGAAGACCCUAUAGAGUUUUAUAAAAUUUAAAUUAAUAUAUAUUAAAGAAUAUUAUAAUUUAUUUAUUUUAAUUUUAUUUAGUUGGGGUGAUUAAAAAAUUUAAUAAACUUUUUUUAAAAAAAUUACAUUUAUAUAUGAAUAAUUGAUCC